This 253-nucleotide ribosomal RNA is filed under the name uncultured bacterium. RNAcentral describes it as "partial 16S ribosomal RNA". It matches the Rfam family "Bacterial small subunit ribosomal RNA", at positions 524 to 776 of the family's 1533-position model. The record is from RNAcentral.
UACGUAGGGGGCAAGCGUUGUCCGGAUUUAUUGGGCGUAAAGAGCGUGUAGGCGGCCAUGUAGGUCCGUUGUGAAAACUCGAGGCUCAACCUCGAGACGCCGAUGGAAACCAUGUGGCUAGAGUCCGGAAGAGGAGAGUGGAAUUCCUGGUGUAGCGGUGAAAUGCGCAGAUAUCAGGAAGAACACCCGUGGCGAAGGCGGUUCUCUGGGACGGUACUGACGCUGAGACGCGAAAGCGUGGGGAGCGAACAGG